This 381-nucleotide ribosomal RNA is filed under the name Chlamydomonas sp. RNAcentral describes it as "partial small subunit ribosomal RNA". It matches the Rfam family "Eukaryotic small subunit ribosomal RNA", at positions 587 to 975 of the family's 1831-position model. The record is from RNAcentral. Lineage: Eukaryota; Viridiplantae; Chlorophyta; Chlorophyceae; Chlamydomonadales; Chlamydomonadaceae.
AGCUCCAAUAGCGUAUAUUUAAGUUGUUGCAGUUAAAAAGCUCGUAGUUGGAUUUCGGGUGGGUGUUAGCGGUCCGGCUCUGCUGUGUACUGCUAAUUCCUACCUUUCUGUCGGGGACGGGCUCUUGGACUUAACUGUCCGGGACUCGGAGUCGACGAGGUUACUUUGAGUAAAUUAGAGUGUUCAAAGCAGGCGUACGCUAUGAAUACAUUAGCAUGGAAUAACACGAUAGGACUCUGGCUUAUCUUGUUGGUCUGUAAGACCGGAGUAAUGAUUAAGAGGGACAGUCGGGGGCAUUCGUAUUUCAUUGUCAGAGGUGAAAUUCUUGGAUUUAUGAAAGACGAACUUCUGCGAAAGCAUUUGCCAAGGAUGUUUUCAUUA